GAAAACUUCACGUUGGCCUGGAAACUUCUUCCAGGCUAAGCCUGAGUCUUCACCAGACACUGCAGCACGAAGGCCCUUCUGCCUUUUGGCUCGCCCUGGCCCAGAAUGCGCACCAGCCGGUAGAGAGGAGCUUCGGGCCGUUUAGCCCUGGGGCAAGAGAAAGAGGCCCACUGCAAUAUGCUGUGAAGAAUACAUAAGAAGUCAAACUGUUGACCUCUUUUCCCCAGCCCGUUCCAAAACUACAUCCCUGAGGAGUUGUGCACCUCUACGGAAAGUUCAGAUGAAAGAGCUAAUUCCCCUUGAUCUCUCUUCUUGUUCAGAGUGGAGGAAAAACAUAUACCAUCCCUUCCAUCAAUCCUCAGCAUAACUUUGCCAGGGACACUGGUAACAAGCUACUUUUACCUCAGAAGUUGGAGAGUAUCACUUGACCCACAUUGUGUAUGUGUAAAUAUCUUUAUUCAGUGUAUAUACAAUAUAUUCUUAAUUUGACUCUCAAA
Molecule: long non-coding RNA, 497 nt
Filed under: Homo sapiens (human)
Lineage: Eukaryota; Metazoa; Chordata; Mammalia; Primates; Hominidae
Description: non-protein coding UBE2E2-AS1:4
Source: RNAcentral